Molecule: ribosomal RNA, 163 nt
Filed under: Dendrocnide basirotunda
Lineage: Eukaryota; Viridiplantae; Streptophyta; Magnoliopsida; Rosales; Urticaceae
Description: 5.8S ribosomal RNA
Rfam family: 5.8S ribosomal RNA
About the family: 5.8S ribosomal RNA (5.8S rRNA) is a component of the large subunit of the eukaryotic ribosome. It is transcribed by RNA polymerase I as part of the 45S precursor that also contains 18S and 28S rRNA.
Source: RNAcentral
UAACGACUCUCGGCAACGGAUAUCUCGGCUCUCGCAUCGAUGAAGAACGUAGCGAAAUGCGAUACGUGGUGUGAAUUGCAGGAUCCCGUGAACCAUCGAGUUUUUGAACGCAAGUUGCGCCCGAAGCCAUUAGGCCAAGGGCACGUCUGCCUGGGCGUCACGC